This 255-nucleotide ribosomal RNA is filed under the name uncultured bacterium. RNAcentral's name for it is "partial 16S ribosomal RNA". It matches the Rfam family "Bacterial small subunit ribosomal RNA", at positions 524 to 776 of the family's 1533-position model. The record is from RNAcentral.
UACGUAGGGUGCGAGCGUUGUCCGGAAUUACUGGGCGUAAAGAGCUCGUAGGCGGCUUGUCGCGUUGUUCGUGAAAAAUUUACCGCUCAACGGUGAACUUGCGGGCGAUACGGGCAGGCUAGAGUACUGCAGGGGGAGACUGGAAUUCCUGGUGUAGCGGUGGAAUGCGCAGAUAUCAGGAGGAACACCGGUGGCGAAGGCGGGUCUCUGGGCAGUAACUGACGCUGAGGAGCGAAAGCGUGGGGAGCGAACAGG